Molecule: transfer RNA, 86 nt
Filed under: Nematostella vectensis (starlet sea anemone)
Lineage: Eukaryota; Metazoa; Cnidaria; Anthozoa; Actiniaria; Edwardsiidae
Rfam family: tRNA
About the family: Transfer RNA (tRNA) molecules are approximately 80 nucleotides in length. Their secondary structure includes four short double-helical elements and three loops (D, anti-codon, and T loops). Further hydrogen bonds mediate the characteristic L-shaped molecular structure. tRNAs have two regions of fundamental functional importance: the anti-codon, which is responsible for specific mRNA codon recognition, and the 3' end, to which the tRNAs corresponding amino acid is attached (by aminoacyl-tRNA synthetases). tRNAs cope with the degeneracy of the genetic code in two manners: having more than one tRNA (with a specific anti-codon) for a particular amino acid; and 'wobble' base-pairing, i.e. permitting non-standard base-pairing at the 3rd anti-codon position.
Source: Rfam by way of RNAcentral
GCCUCGUUAGCGCAGUAGGCAGCGCGUCAGUCUCAUAAUCAAAUCUAGAAAUCUGAAGGUCGUGAGUUCGAUCAUUACACUGGGCA